This is a long non-coding RNA of Acinonyx jubatus (cheetah), 3369 nucleotides long. RefSeq lists it as uncharacterized. The record is from RefSeq and is a predicted model, not a curated record. The transcript is spliced from 2 exons. NCBI's taxonomy places the organism in Eukaryota, Metazoa, Chordata, Mammalia, Carnivora, Felidae.
CCCUAGACAAGCGAGGAGACCCAAACACAGCUCCAGGGGCCCAGGGCUCCAUCCUAGCCUGUGACCUCUGCCCCCACUAUCCAGGAAAGUUCUAGGCACCUUUACCCAGCAUUCAGCCAAGUGGUGAACCCUUGGGGGGGCCCGGCCCAGGCACGAACAAAGCUAGAUUGACAAACUUAAAGGGUGAGGCAGGGGGGGCAAACGGGGCAGGGGGUCUACUAAGACCCAAAGGCAGAUGAGUCAGCCAGGUGAGGAGCUGGGGAAAGCACGUGCAAAGGCCCUGGGGUGAGGGAGCCUGACCCAGGUGAAAGCCUGUGAGAAAGACACAAAGGCAGAGGCACAGGGGGUGAGGGGCAUAGGUGAGGCUGCUGGUGCUAGUGACUGCCGGCCGCGCUGGGCCUCUGCGCUAGUCUUCCGCUGAGACCAAGGGGAAGUCACAGAGAGAAGCUGAGCUGGGUCGGGCUGCACUGUAGAGACUUCCAUUUUCACAGAGGUCCCUGGCUGCGGGGAGAGGGGCGGCAGGGGUAAAGCCAGGGCAGGGAGGCCCGGGACUGCCAGACCGGGGCCUGGCAGCAGAGGGACUGGGGAGGGGGGGUGCAGAAUCCCCAGACAAGUGGUGGGCGUAAUCCAGAGAACAAUCCCCCCACACGCCCCUCCCUCAUCCACCUCUGAAGCUUCCUGCCCACAGCCAGCUGCAGGAGGGAAGGACGAGCCGGAGACUCGCUGAGCCGCCAGUUCCAGAAGCUGCUGAGUUCCGGCAGGGGUUCUUUCCGUGCUCGGAGCGGUCUCAGCUGGGAGGAGCCUCAGCCCGGACUUAAUUCCCAGGAGAGGUUCGAGUCACAAAGGUGGCCACUUCAGGCAAGGGGUGGGCCUUGGAGGCUGCCGCGAGAGGGAGAAGUCCUCCCCUCAGGGUGCUCCCCAUAGGGGUUUCUGCAGCCUUGGGCCGGAGGGCUGGGGAUCCUAUGGGGCCCAGGGCGCCUGUAUCACCCAUGCUGGGCCGGGCUGCCCCGCCUCUUCCAGAGAGACCCCAUCCCUGUUCUGGGGCCCACUGGGCCGCGACACCCACCUCUAGCCUGGGGGCUCCCUCUCCGAGCGCCCCAGUACCAGGGGCGCUCGGGCAUGCUCUGAGGUGGGCGCUUGACAAGGUGUGGGAGGGGCGGAGGCCCCCGACCUGGCAGGGGAUCUUCAGGGCCAGGCCAGGGUGCAGGCUGCCCGGAGUCUGGAUGGAGCCGGCUUGGCUCAGGAGGGAGCUGCGCUUCCGCCCGUGUUCUGUGGUGCUAAAUAUAGCGGCCAGGGAGGGGAGUUUCCGGUUACAGCCCCCCCCCCACCCCCCAGUGCUGGGAAAUCGAUGCCAGCUCCAUCAGGCCCAGCGGCACGGCCUGCUGACCUGCCCCCAUCAGGCUGCAGAGCAGAAUGAGGGGGCUGGAGCGCACCCAAGUCCGGGGGCUCUGCCCCUCGCCCCCCCGCCUGCCGCUUCCCAGCCCCCAGCUGCUCCCCGGCACCAGCCUGCCAGGGCCCCUCUGAGGCAGCGGGCAGCACCUGCAGGUCAGCGAGGAGGGACAGUGGGGCCCUAGAGGGGGGCACCAGGCAGGCAAGAGAGAGGGAGGUGGGGUGGUUCUAGGCUGGGCAGGGUUCCCGCCCUGCGAGCCGUUCUCCGGAUGCACCGAGGCCCGGCGCGGCCCGCUCCUCUGGACCCUGCCGCAGCCGAGCCCUGCCAGCCCCCUUGGUCGCACAGCACACACCUGAGGGCCACUCCCAGCAGUGUGCCACUCAACUGGCUGGGCUCCCUGGAGGCCCCACCUGGGUCGCAGCCAGCAUUUGCAUACAGGUGGUGCCGCUCGGGUGGGCCCCUUGGGCACAGCCUCCUCAGGACGGCCUCGAAUGCCAGGCCCAGGGGCUGUCUGCGCUGUGCCUGUCGCCCCGGCCCCCUCCCCGGCUGAAGGGAGGGGCCUUCCACGUGUGCUGCCUGAGUGGGGUCAGCCUGGGGCAGGGCAGGGGGAUUACCGGAGGGCAGGGUGACCUCAGCCAGAAAGAGUGGCCCCCACCUGGCAGUGGGGUCUCAGUGGGAGCCAAAGGCAGGCCCUUCCUCAGCACCCGCCCCAUUCCAGCCUGAGGUCUGGUCCGCGGGGACGCUGAAGUCAUGUUCGGAGCAGAGCUCCCGACCAUGCCAGCUCCUACUGCCUGUGACCGCAACAGCCCGUGGGCACCCGGCCCUCCCCCAGCUGCCCACAACCCAUCAUCCGUGCCGCCGCCCUCGGUGGACCAGAGGACUUGGGAGGGCUCUGGGGGGGGAGGGCCAGGACAGGUCACCAGCUGCAAAGGGGGUCAGGCUGGCCCUCAUUCCAGGAGCGUCCCCAGCGCUCAGGCUGGGCCCCCGUCCCCGACCGACCGACUGCCCAACCUGGACUGUGGUGACUGGCACACCCUCGCCACUUAGGACCCCCAUCCACCCGCUUCGUAUGGAGCAUUUACUGGGAGCGUAGCUGAGCAGUCACCCAGCUCUCCUGUGAGCCCAAGUGUUUUAAGGGUCACAAAGGCAGCUCAUGCAGCCCCUGACCCUUAAGACAGGCCAGCGUGCAGGGCAGGGAUCCUCCCAGCUUUGUAGGCCACGCCACACGCAGGCCAGCGGGCAGAGGGAGUUCUUAUCACCGACUCCAACUGCCCAGAGCACUGCCCGGGCCGUCGGGUGGGGGGGUGGCGCUAGACCCAGAGCGGCCCUGGCUUCGGACUCCAGGAGAGGGUAGGGUCCUGGGAGCACGCGCCCUCGAGAAUGAACAGCCUGCGGCUCUGUCCCCACCUCCUCCCCAGGGCUGGCUCUGCCACCGCUCCACGGCCACCCCAUGGCCCAGCACUCUGUCCUCCCUGAGCGCCUGGCCUGGCCGAGCCCCCACCUAAGGCCUGACCUUAGCCGUCUGCCGGCCACCAGCCGCCCUCAGCAGUCCCUGCCCUGCCUGCUGCCAGAGGCCUCUUGGUGGAAAGCCCACCCUCCCCCAGGGCCCAUCGGGGAAAGACCCGCGGUCCCUCCACCUGCCCCAGCCCACCUGGGGCCACCGCUCGGAGCCAGAGGACACAGGCUGGAGUUGUACAAGCCUUUAUUGGAUCUGCAGGAGGUGACCGUGGCCGACCUUGGUCCCGACCCCCCGGAGUCUCACCGGGGACCCAGCCCAGGAGCCACACAGCUGAGGAACCACGAGAUGCCAAAGAGGACACCAAGGGUCUUGGGGACAUCCGGGUCAUCCGCGAAGGCCUGGGCCCCAUCCAGCGGCAGAUGCACCACUUGGAUGAGCUCGCCCUCCUCUGCCAGGCCCCCGCCCGGGCCGCUCCGCUGGGAAUCGGUCACCUCUGCGUAGAACAUGGUCUGGCUGGAGC